Molecule: non-coding RNA, 155 nt
Organism: Populus trichocarpa (black cottonwood)
Lineage: Eukaryota; Viridiplantae; Streptophyta; Magnoliopsida; Malpighiales; Salicaceae
Source: Rfam
UCUAGAACUUGAGAUAUGGGCUGAACACUGAACAGUGUCUAGGCUACAGAACAGAUUCAAACAUCUUUUUUGAUGCUAAUAGUUGAACUUGAAAAUGGAAGAUUUGAAUCUUGGACUCUCAUGAAAGUUUUAGACAUAUGUCUUAGCUUUCCAUC